GAAAAAUCAAAAACAGAUUGAUGGAUAACAAAGAGGCUUCAGAAAAAUCAUCUUCCCAGAAGAUGGAUAACCAAGAAGCUUCAGAAGCUAUUGAUGCACUCUCAUUGACAGCUUCCUCAUCCAAUCCUUCCAUUUCAGCUUCACAGAUGAGUUUGGAGGAAAAGUUCAAGAUUGUUAGGAGUAUUGGGGAGGAAUGCAUACAGGAGGAUGAGUUGAUGAAUCUUUUGGCAAAGAAGCCACAACCUAUUUGCUAUGAUGGUUUUGAGCCUUCUGGUCGAAUGCACAUUGCUCAGGGAGUUUUGAAGGCACUAAAUGUCAACAAACUGACUUCGGCUGGCUGCAAGGUGAAGAUCUGGAUUGCAGAUUGGUUUGCCCAGCUAAAUAACAAGAUGGGAGGUGAUCUGAAGAAAAUUGAGGUUGUUGGUCAAUAUUUGAUUGAGAUAUGGAAGGCU
RNAcentral lists this unclassified non-coding RNA (452 nucleotides) under Hevea brasiliensis (rubber tree). The record is from RNAcentral. Lineage: Eukaryota; Viridiplantae; Streptophyta; Magnoliopsida; Malpighiales; Euphorbiaceae.